RNAcentral lists this transfer RNA (88 nucleotides) under Paenibacillus sp. YN15. Its description in RNAcentral is "tRNA-Leu". It matches the Rfam family "tRNA". Rfam says of the family: Transfer RNA (tRNA) molecules are approximately 80 nucleotides in length. Their secondary structure includes four short double-helical elements and three loops (D, anti-codon, and T loops). Lineage: Bacteria; Bacillati; Bacillota; Bacilli; Caryophanales; Paenibacillaceae. The record is from RNAcentral.
GCGGUCAUGGCGGAAUUGGCAGACGCGCCGGCUUCAGGUGCCGGUGGGCUAACCCCCCGUGGAGGUUCGAGUCCUCUUGACCGCACCA